AGAGUUUGAUCCUGGCUCAGAUUGAACGCUGGCGGCAGACUACACAUGCAAGUCGAGCGGAUGAAGAGGGCUUGCUCUCUGAUUCAGCGGCGGACGGGUGAGUAACGCGUAGGAAUCUACCUAGUAGUGGGGGACAACAGUUGGAAACGACUGCUAAUACCGCAUACGCCCUAAGGGGGAAAGCAGGGGAUCUUCGGACCUUGUGCUAUUAGAUGAGCCUGCGUGAGAUUAGCUAGUUGGUGAGGUAAAGGCUCACCAAGGCAACGAUCUCUAGCUGGUCUGAGAGGAUGAUCAGCCACACAGGGACUGAGACACGGCCCAGACUCCUACGGGAGGCAGCAGUGGGGAAUAUUGGACAAUGGGCGCAAGCCUGAUCCAGCCAUGCCGCGUGUGUGAAGAAGGCCUUCGGGUUGUAAAGCACUUUCAGAAGGGAGGAAAGGUUGUGUGUUAAUAGCGCAUAGCUGUGACGUUACCUUCAGAAGAAGCACCGGCUAACUCCGUGCCAGCAGCCGCGGUAAUA
Molecule: ribosomal RNA, 520 nt
Filed under: uncultured bacterium
Lineage: Bacteria
Description: bacterial SSU rRNA
Rfam family: Bacterial small subunit ribosomal RNA
Source: RNAcentral